GGGCCCGCACAAGCGGUGGAGUAUGUGGUUUAAUUCGAUGCAACGCGAAGAACCUUACCUAGACUUAACAUGUUUGAGAAUCUCUGUGAAAGCAGAGAGUGCCUUUCGGGGAACUCUUACGUAGGUGCUGCAUGGCUGUCGUCAGCUCGUGUCGUGAGAUGUCGGGUUAAGUCCCUUAACGAGCGAAACCCUUAUCUUCAGUUGCCAGCGAGUAAUGUCGGGGACUCUAAAGAGACUGCCGGUGAUAAGCCGGAGGAAGGUGGGGACGACGUCAAGUCCUCAUGGCCCUUACGGGAUGGGCUACACACGUGCUACAAUGGCAGUGACAAUGGGUUAACCCCAAAAACUGUCUCAGUUCGGAUUGGAGUCUGCAACUCGACUCCAUGAAGUCGGAAUCGCUAGUAAUCG
Molecule: ribosomal RNA, 408 nt
Filed under: uncultured bacterium
Lineage: Bacteria
Description: bacterial SSU rRNA
Rfam family: Bacterial small subunit ribosomal RNA
Source: RNAcentral